This 31-nucleotide non-coding RNA is filed under the name Mus musculus (house mouse). The record is from RNAcentral. Lineage: Eukaryota; Metazoa; Chordata; Mammalia; Rodentia; Muridae.
UGAGUGGAUUUAUGAACAUGCUGCUCAUAAA